This 433-nucleotide ribosomal RNA is filed under the name uncultured bacterium. RNAcentral's name for it is "partial 16S ribosomal RNA". It matches the Rfam family "Bacterial small subunit ribosomal RNA", at positions 29 to 507 of the family's 1533-position model. The record is from RNAcentral.
AACGAACGCUGGCGGCAUGCCUAACACAUGCAAGUCGAACGAGACCUUCGGGUCUAGUGGCGCACGGGUGCGUAACGCGUGGGAACCUGCCCUUAGGUUCGGAAUAACUCCCCGAAAGGGGUGCUAAUACCGGAUAAUGUCUUCGGACCAAAGAUUUAUCGCCUUUGGAUGGGCCCGCGUUGGAUUAGCUAGUUGGUAGGGUAAAAGCCUACCAAGGCGACGAUCCAUAGCUGGUCUGAGAGGAUGAUCAGCCACACUGGGACUGAGACACGGCCCAGACUCCUACGGGAGGCAGCAGUGGGGAAUAUUGGAACAUGGGCGAAAGCAUGAUCCAGCAAUGCCGCGUGAGUGAUGAAGGCCUUAGGGUUGUAAAGCUCUUUUACCCGGGAUGAUAAUGACAGUACCGGGAGAAUAAGCUCCGGCUAACUCCGUG